This 374-nucleotide ribosomal RNA is filed under the name uncultured organism. RNAcentral describes it as "bacterial SSU rRNA". It matches the Rfam family "Bacterial small subunit ribosomal RNA", at positions 526 to 896 of the family's 1533-position model. The record is from RNAcentral.
CGUAGGGUGCGAGCGUUGUCCGGAAUUAUUGGGCGUAAAGAGCUCGUAGGCGGUCUGUCGCGUCGGUCGUGAAAACUUGGGGCUUAACCCUGAGCUUGCGGUCGAUACGGGCAUGACUGGAGUUCGGCAGGGGAGACUGGAAUUCCUGGUGUAGCAGUGAAAUGCGCAGAUAUCAGGAGGAACACCGGUGGCGAAGGCGGGUCUCUGGGCCGAUACUGACGCUGAGGAGCGAAAGCGUGGGGAGCGAACAGGAUUAGAUACCCUGGUAGUCCACGCCGUAAACGGUGGGCGCUAGGUGUGGGGGCCAUUCCACGGUCUCUGUGCCGUAGCUAACGCAUUAAGCGCCCCGCCUGGGGAGUACGGCCGCAAGGCUA